Molecule: ribosomal RNA, 265 nt
Filed under: uncultured prokaryote
Description: partial 16S ribosomal RNA
Rfam family: Bacterial small subunit ribosomal RNA
Source: RNAcentral
UACGGAGGAUCCGAGCGUUAUCCGGAUUUAUUGGGUUUAAAGGGUGCGCAGGCGGGAGAUUAAGUCGGCGGUGAAAUUUUGCAGCUCAACUGUAAAAGUGCCUUCGAAACUGGUUUCCUUGAGUGUGGAUGAAGUAGGCGGAAUUUGUGGUGUAGCGGUGAAAUGCAUAGAUAUCACGAGGAACUCCGAUUGCGCAGGCAGCUUACUAAGCCAUAACUGACGCUCAGACACGAAGGCGUGGGGAUCAAACAGGAUUAGAUACCCG